GACGAACGCUGGCGGCGUGCUUAACACAUGCAAGUCGAACGGAAAGGCCCUGCUUUUGUGGGGUGCUCGAGUGGCGAACAGGUGAGUAACACGUGAGUAACCUGCCCUUGACUUUGGGAUAACUUCAGGAAACUGGGGCUAAUACCGGAUAGGAGCUCCUGCUGCAUGGUGGGGGUUGGAAAGUUUCGGCGGUUGGGGAUGGACUCGCGGCUUAUCAGCUUGUUGGUGGGGUAGUGGCUUACCAAGGCUUUGACGGGUAGCCGGCCUGAGAGGGUGACCGGCCACAUUGGGACUGAGAUACGGCCCAGACUCCUACGGGAGGCAGCAGUGGGGAAUAUUGCACAAUGGGCGGAAGCCUGGUGCAGCAACGCCGCGUGCGGGAUGACGGCCUUCGGGUUGUAAACCGCUUUCGCCUGUGACGAAGCGUGAGUGACGGUAAUGGGUAAAGAAGCACCGGCUAACUACGUG
This 468-nucleotide ribosomal RNA is filed under the name uncultured bacterium. Its description in RNAcentral is "partial 16S ribosomal RNA". It matches the Rfam family "Bacterial small subunit ribosomal RNA", at positions 28 to 507 of the family's 1533-position model. The record is from RNAcentral.